GAUGAACGCUGGCGGCGUGCCUAAUACAUGCAAGUCGAGCGAACAGACGAGGAGCUUGCUCCUCUGACGUUAGCGGCGGACGGGUGAGUAACACGUGGAUAACCUACCUAUAAGACUGGGAUAACUUCGGGAAACCGGAGCUAAUACCGGAUAAUAUAUUGAACCGCAUGGUUCAAUAGUGAAAGACGGUUUUGCUGUCACUUAUAGAUGGAUCCGCGCCGCAUUAGCUAGUUGGUAAGGUAACGGCUUACCAAGGCAACGAUGCGUAGCCGACCUGAGAGGGUGAUCGGCCACCCUGGAACUGAGACACGGUCCAGACUCCUACGGGAGGCCGCAGUAGGGAAUCUUCCGCAAUGGGCGAAAGCUUGACGGAGCAACGCCGCGUGAGUGAUGAAGGUCUUCGGAUCGUAAAACUCUGUUAUUAGGGAAGAACAAAUGUGUAAGUAACUAUGCACGUCUUGACGGUACCUAAUCAGAAAGCCACGGCUAACUACGUG
RNAcentral lists this ribosomal RNA (497 nucleotides) under uncultured bacterium. RNAcentral describes it as "partial 16S ribosomal RNA". It matches the Rfam family "Bacterial small subunit ribosomal RNA", at positions 28 to 507 of the family's 1533-position model. The record is from RNAcentral.